This 496-nucleotide ribosomal RNA is filed under the name uncultured bacterium. RNAcentral's name for it is "partial 16S ribosomal RNA". It matches the Rfam family "Bacterial small subunit ribosomal RNA", at positions 29 to 507 of the family's 1533-position model. The record is from RNAcentral.
AUGAACGCUGGCGGCGUGCCUAAUACAUGCAAGUCGAGCGAACGGACGAGAAGCUUGCUUCUCUGAUGUUAGCGGCGGACGGGUGAGUAACACGUGGAUAACCUACCUAUAAGACUGGGAUAACUUCGGGAAACCGGAGCUAAUACCGGAUAAUAUUUUGAACCGCAUGGUUCAAAAGUGAAAGACGGUCUUGCUGUCACUUAUAGAUGGAUCCGCGCUGCAUUAGCUAGUUGGUAAGGUAACGGCUUACCAAGGCAACGAUGCAUAGCCGACCUGAGAGGGUGAUCGGCCACACUGGAACUGAGACACGGUCCAGACUCCUACGGGAGGCAGCAGUAGGGAAUCUUCCGCAAAGGGCGAAAGCCUGACGGAGCAACGCCGCGUGAGUGAUGAAGGUCUUCAGAUCGUAAAACUCUGUUAUUAGGGAAGAACAUAUGUGUAAGUAACUGUGCACAUCUUGACGGUACCUAAUCAGAAAGCCACGGCUAACUACGUG